GAUGAACGCUGGCGGCGUGCCUAAUACAUGCAAGUCGAGCCAACAGACGAGGAGCUUGCUCCUCUGACGUUAGCGGCGGACGGGUGAGUAACACGUGGAUAACCUACCUAUAAGACUGGGAUAACUUCGGGAAACCGGAGCUAAUACCGGAUAAUAUAUUGAACCGCAUGGUUCAAUAGUGAAAGACGGUCUUGCUGUCACUUAUAGAUGGAUCCGCGCCGCAUUAGCUAGUUGGUAAGGUAACGGCUUACCAAGGCAACGAUGCGUAGCCGACCUGAGAGGGUGAUCGGCCACACUGGAACUGAGACACGGUCCAGACUCCUACGGGAGGCAGCAGUAGGGAAUCUUCCGCAAUGGGCGAAAGCUUGACGGAGCAACGCCGCGUGAGUGAUGAAGGUCUUCGGAUCGUAAAACUCUGUUAUUAGGGAAGAACAAAUGUGUAAGUAACUAUGCACGUCUUGACGGUACCUAAUCAGAAAGCCACGGCUAACUACGUG
RNAcentral lists this ribosomal RNA (497 nucleotides) under uncultured bacterium. Its description in RNAcentral is "partial 16S ribosomal RNA". It matches the Rfam family "Bacterial small subunit ribosomal RNA", at positions 28 to 507 of the family's 1533-position model. The record is from RNAcentral.